Molecule: ribosomal RNA, 478 nt
Filed under: uncultured bacterium
Lineage: Bacteria
Description: partial 16S ribosomal RNA
Rfam family: Bacterial small subunit ribosomal RNA
Source: RNAcentral
GACGAACGCUGGCGGCGUGCUUAACACAUGCAAGUCGAACGGUAAGGCCCUUCGGGGUACACGAGUGGCGAACGGGUGAGUAACACGUGGGUGAUCUGCCAUGCACUUCGGGAUAAGCCUGGGAAACUGGGUCUAAUACCGGAUAGGACCACUGCCUGCAUGGGUGGUGGUGGAAAGCUUUUGCGGUGUGGGAUGGGCCCGCGGCCUAUCAGCUUGUUGGUGGGGUGAUGGCCUACCAAGGCGACGACGGGUAGCCGGCCUGAGAGGGUGACCGGCCACACUGGGACUGAGAUACGGCCCAGACUCCUACGGGAGGCAGCAGUGGGGAAUAUUGCACAAUGGGCGCAAGCCUGAUUCAGCGACGCCGCGUGAGGGAUGACGGCCUUCGGGUUGUAAACCUCUUUCAGCACCGACGAAGCGCAAGUGACGGUAGGUGCAGAAGAAGGACCGGCCAACUACGUGCCAGCAGCCGCGGUAA